Molecule: ribosomal RNA, 331 nt
Filed under: uncultured bacterium
Lineage: Bacteria
Description: bacterial SSU rRNA
Rfam family: Bacterial small subunit ribosomal RNA
Source: RNAcentral
UGCGUAGGCGGUUCUUUGUGUCCGCUGUGAAAGCCCCGGGCUUAACCUGGGAAUGGCAGUGGAAACUAGAGGACUCAGAAUCUGGCAGAGGGGGGUGGAAUGCCACGUGUAGCAGUGAAAUGCGUAGAGAUGUGGCGGAACACCGAUGGCGAAGGCAGCCCCCUGGGCUGAGAUUGACGCUCAGGCACGAAAGCGUGGGGAGCAAACAGGAUUAGAUACCCUGGUAGUCCACGCCCUAAACGAUGUCAACUAGGUGUUGGGGAAGCGAUUUCCUAGUACCGCAGCUAACGCGUGAAGUUGACCGCCUGGGGAGUACGGUCGCAAGAUUAAA